CUUUCAAAGUCCGAAAAGAUACGGAAUAAUUUGGCUGAGAUCUUUUUUUAGCAUACCCUUUUACGACUUGACAAAGACAGUAAUUUAAAGAAUGAACGAGUCGGACAGAAAAUUGUUUCAAGCCAUUUAUCUUCGCUUUGUGGAGAGGGUUGAUCCAAGUGAAAUGAUGGGAUCUAUAACAUGUCUGACAGAGCAUGCAAGGCACCAGGGCACCAAACUCGUGUCAAACCAGGAUGGUCUCACAUAGUACAAGAGCCAAUGGAAGCUAAUUUACCGCCAAUGGAAGCCAAUUAUUCAAAUUUCCAUGUACUUACCAUGGAAUACAAAUGGCCGGUGCUUCAACAAUCCAGCAGAACCAAACUUCAUAUGGGCCAAACGAAACAAACAGGAAUGAGGCUCCAUAUGGUAGCAAUAGAUACCCCAAUAGUUAUGCUUCACCAUUCAACCAGAAUCAGACUCCUCGCGAGUUAUAUGUUCUAGGCAGGUACACGGUUAAAAACUUCCAGUAUAUUGGUAUGUCUGCUACAUACUCAGGAGCCUCGAAUGUUGAUUUUCCUGUGCCAAAACGGUAUAUAUCACAACAGCCUCAGCAGGGUGUUAAUCAUAUGCAACAUCAGCCGGUCAGAGUUGUGUAUGCACCGUCAGCCCAUUCUGCGUCCAUGUCGGAAUUUCAAAAUGACCCACAAGAUGAUCAAUCUCCACAAAACUUUGGUGGUAAAGAACCAUCUAUGGAACCAUUAAAGAUCAAUGUGUCACAGAGUACAGGCAUCGUUUCUGAACAGGACAACGAUUUGAAUAAAUCUGAUACAGAUAAUGAAGAUUCAGAUUUUACUGUAACGAAAAAUAUUGAAACAGAAGAGAAUAUUUUAUAUGUACCAGAUUCUGAUUCAGGUAAAAUUAUUCAGGACCAGGACAACGUUCAAUGGAGGCAACCAAUGACGAAUAAUAAAGUUGGAAUAAAAAAGCAAGUAAGUUUAAGAAUGACCGAAGAAAGUUGUGAAAAUGUUCCAUUUAAACUACAAGCAACUGGUUUUGAUUCAAGCGAGACUACGCUUAAAGAGUUUUACAACCCAAUGGCAAUGUAAAAAAAGAGGACAAUAAUGCAACUCAUGCUGGAUUUGAUUCAAGUGAGACCACACUUAAAUCCCCGAUAACAGAUAAUGAACAAAACGUUUCGUCCAACGUAGAAAGUACGAUCAAACUUUCGUUAAGAUCAAAAGCUGAUAAAAUCAAUUUUGAAACAGAAAUCACCCAAGAACAUGUUGAGAAUAUACGACAGGGAUGUUUCUCAAAUGUCUAUUCCACAACUGCUUCAUUAUUGCCUUCAACUCAAAAAGUGUCAACAGAAAGAACCGAUAACGUUGAAGCAACGCAGCAACCAAUCGACAACUCUCUGGAAGAUGCUAAUAUACCGGAAAUAAGGAUCCUUCAAGACGAUGCUGAACUCGAAAGUAUAAUCAAGAAAGGAGGGAAGGCGAAUGCCUUUGGGAUUCCUAGUUAUAGAAAAGAUGGUAAAACCGAGGAUGGGGUAAGUUUUGUGUCAGAUUCUGAAGAAAGAGAUAUGGCUGCGAAUUCCGAUGAGUACAUUUCAACGGAUGGUAUUCGUACUACAGAAGGCAAUACCGUGCGAGCUGAGAUAAAUGGCAUGAACGAGUACUUUGAACAACUGAAUGACCAUCCUAAAGAUUUGACCAAAGAUCAGAUCAAACACAACAGUGUCCAGAAAGGUAUGAUUGCUAUUAGGCCAGAGGUUGCUGAAAAUGUAAAUGCGGAGAAUUCAACAGAUGAACGAUUUAGAUGGGUCAGUUUUGGGUCAUCGUUUGCGAGUUUAAUUUACAAGGGUUUGCACCCAGAUGUUUGAGGACACUUUGCCAACGUUAACGCUGGUUUCAUAUAAGAAUUUGUAUUCAAUGCUUGUUUAUGUAUAUUAAAUUGGAUAACAUAAAGUGCAAAAUAUCAGCUCGUGCUGUGCUGUGUAUGGUCCAGGAAUAUCGUCAAAUCGAAGAAUGUGUAUCCAAUAAACAUAUAUUUGUAUAACAUAGUUAAACGAAUAAAACAAUUAUGAACAUGAUUGAUAUAUUUAUUGAUUGAUUGAUGAUACAGAUAAAUCGAAGCAGGCCGUUUAUAAGCGCUCAUAU
Molecule: long non-coding RNA, 2138 nt
Organism: Dreissena polymorpha
Lineage: Eukaryota; Metazoa; Mollusca; Bivalvia; Myida; Dreissenidae
Exons: 3
Source: RefSeq, a predicted model, not a curated record